RNAcentral lists this long non-coding RNA (241 nucleotides) under Homo sapiens (human). RNAcentral describes it as "HSALNT0060403". The record is from RNAcentral. Lineage: Eukaryota; Metazoa; Chordata; Mammalia; Primates; Hominidae.
AGACCAGGCCUCGCGGCCCCGGCCGGCGUGAGCCGUACAAAAUCUACGUCACUUGGGGUAGAAAAACAAAAACACCGAAAAGCCCACGCCGGCCGCUCUGACCGGCCGACACGCUCACUUGCGGCCCUUGGGCACUUUGGGGACGCUGGGCUUGGCCGCCUUCUUCACCUUCUUGCCCCCGGCGGCCGCCGUCUUCUUGGCCUUGCCGCCUUUGUCCUUCUUGGCGCCAGCGCCCUUCUUG